This 499-nucleotide ribosomal RNA is filed under the name uncultured bacterium. RNAcentral describes it as "bacterial SSU rRNA". It matches the Rfam family "Bacterial small subunit ribosomal RNA", at positions 21 to 518 of the family's 1533-position model. The record is from RNAcentral.
GGCUCAGGACGAACGCUGGCGGCGUGCCUAACACAUGCAAGUCGAACGGAACUAAUUGACCGAUUCCUUCGGGAUGAAGAAUUUUAGUUAGUGGCGGACGGGUGAGUAACGCGUGAGUAACCUGCCUCUGAGAGGGGAAUAACGUUCUGAAAAGAACGCUAAUACCGCAUAACACAUAUAUGCCGCAUGACAGAUAUGUCAAAGAUUUUUAUCGCUCGGAGAUGGACUCGCGUCCGAUUAGUUAGUUGGUGAGGUAACGGCUCACCCAAGACCGCGAUCGGUAGCCGGACUGAGAGGUUGAACGGCCACAUUGGGACUGAGACACGGCCCAGACUCCUACGGGAGGCAGCAGUGGGGGAUAUUGCGCAAUGGGGGCAACCCUGACGCAGCAACGCCGCGUGAAGGAUGAAGGUUUUCGGAUUGUAAACUUCUUUUAUCAGGGACGAACUCUGACGGUACCUGAUGAAUAAGCUCCGGCUAACUACGUGCCAGCCGCCGC